GGGAAUGUGGCUUAGUGGUAGAGUGCUUGUCUAGCAUGCAUGAAGCCCUAGGUUCCAUUCCUAGUACCA
RNAcentral lists this transfer RNA (69 nucleotides) under Dipodomys ordii (Ord's kangaroo rat). It matches the Rfam family "tRNA". From Rfam's summary of the family: Transfer RNA (tRNA) molecules are approximately 80 nucleotides in length. Their secondary structure includes four short double-helical elements and three loops (D, anti-codon, and T loops). Lineage: Eukaryota; Metazoa; Chordata; Mammalia; Rodentia; Heteromyidae. The record is from Rfam by way of RNAcentral.